GCUGACGAGUGGCGGACGGGUGAGUAAUGUCUGGGAAACUGCCUGAUGGAGGGGGAUAACUACUGGAAACGGUGGCUAAUACCGCAUAACGUCGCAAGACCAAAGAGGGGGACCUUCGGGCCUCUUGCCAUCAGAUGUGCCCAGAUGGGAUUAGCUUGUUGGUGAGGUAACGGCUCACCAAGGCGACGAUCCCUAGCUGGUCUGAGAGGAUGACCAGCCACACUGGAACUGAGACACGGUCCAGACUCCUACGGGAGGCAGCAGUGGGGAAUAUUGCACAAUGGGCGCAAGCCUGAUGCAGCCAUGCCGCGUGUAUGAAGAAGGCCUUCGGGUUGUAAAGUACUUUCAGCGGGGAGGAAGGUGUUGUGGUUAAUAACCGCAGCAAUUGACGUUACCCGCAGAAGAAGCACCGGCUAACUCCGUGCCAGCAGCCGCGGUAAUACGGAGGGUGCAAGCGUUAAUCGGAAUUACUGGGCGUAAAGCGCACGCAGGCGGUCUGUCAAGUCGGAUGUGAAAUCCCCGGGCUCAACCUGGGAACUGCAUUCGAAACUGGCAGGCUUGAGUCUUGUAGAGGGGGGUAGAAUUCCAGGUGUAGCGGUGAAAUGCGUAGAGAUCUGGAGGAAUACCGGUGGCGAAGGCGGCCCCCUGGACAAAGACUGACGCUCAGGUGCGAAAGCGUGGGGAGCAAACAGGAUUAGAUACCCUGGUAGUCCACGCCGUAAACGAUGUCUACUUGGAGGUUGUGCCCUUGAGGCGUGGCUUCCGGAGCUAACGCGUUAAGUAGACCGCCUGGGGAGUACGGCCGCAAGGUUAAAACUCAAAUGAAUUGACGGGGGCCCGCACAAGCGGUGGAGCAUGUGGUUUAAUUCGAUGCAACGCGAAGAACCUUACCUGGUCUUGACAUCCACAGAAGAAUCCAGAGAUGGAUUUGUGCCUUCGGGAACUGUGAGACAGGUGCUGCAUGGCUGUCGUCAGCUCGUGUUGUGAAAUGUUGGGUUAAGUCCCGCAACGAGCGCAACCCUUAUCCUUUGUUGCCAGCGGUCCGGCCGGGAACUCAAAGGAGACUGCCAGUGAUAAACUGGAGGAAGGUGGGGAUGACGUCAAGUCAUCAUGGCCCUUACGACCAGGGCUACACACGUGCUACAAUGGCGCAUACAAAGAGAAGCGACCUCGCGAGAGCAAGCGGACCUCAUAAAGUGCGUCGUAGUCCGGAUUGGAGUCUGCAACUCGACUCCAUGAAGUCGGAAUCGCUAGUAAUCGUGGAUCAGAAUGCCACGGUGAAUACGUUCCCGGGCCUUGUACACACCGCCCGUCACACCAUGGGAGUGGGUUGCAAAAGAAGUAGGUAGCUUAACCUUCGGGAGGGCGCUUACCACUUUGUGAUUCAUGACUGGGGUGAAGUCGUAACAAGGUAACCGUAGGGGAACCUGCGGUUGGAUCACCUCCUUA
This 1449-nucleotide ribosomal RNA is filed under the name Salmonella enterica. Its description in RNAcentral is "bacterial SSU rRNA". It matches the Rfam family "Bacterial small subunit ribosomal RNA". RNAcentral also lists the same sequence under 2 other names. The record is from RNAcentral. Lineage: Bacteria; Pseudomonadati; Pseudomonadota; Gammaproteobacteria; Enterobacterales; Enterobacteriaceae.